Rhea pennata is the source of this 877-nucleotide long non-coding RNA. RefSeq lists it as uncharacterized. Lineage: Eukaryota; Metazoa; Chordata; Aves; Rheiformes; Rheidae. The transcript has 3 exons. The record is from RefSeq and is a predicted model, not a curated record.
AUGUCAGAUUUUUCUGUGGAUCAGAGAUUUUGGUAUUCGUUCAGCUCAGCCAGCAGGUGAAGAGAAGCUUAACAGCAGCACAUGAAGCUAGUGGUCACUGCAGUAAUCCCCUGAGCAAAGAGCGCAUGAAGCUGGAAAGCUCUGAAAGGGAAGUCAGAAUGACCCUAACAGAAAACUUUUCCUGAAGGAAACCACAUCUGUUCAAGCUGGCAUGCAGGACUGUUCUCAGGAGGAGCAAGAUGCAAAGUUCAAGGGAACUGAAUGUGAAGAUACAACAUGACUUCACUGGCGGUUAUAUAAUGAGGCUCAGAGUGAGGAAGCUCUUUGUUCUAUUUACAAAUCCCCGUAUUACUGACAAGGAAACUUCAGAGGCCGGUUUCCAAAGAAAACAAUGAGGAAAGAAAGUGGAUGUGGGCCUGAAAAAUACAGGUGAUUUCAGACUGUCAUCUUUCCUGAAUUUUGGGGGCGUCUCUACAAGUCCUGCAUAGAACAGAAAUUUGCAAGUGUGUUGUUUCGUAUUUACAAGAGGAUAACACGCUGGAGCAGAGAACGCAUGCGCGCUUCAGAUUUAUAAGGACUCCUGGAGACUGAGGGAGGUGAACUGACUGGUUUAAAAUCAUACAACACAGUAAAAGUAGGAACAGAGGCCAGGUUUCCAGGCUUCUAGUUAUGCACUUUAACCACUAAAAAACUUCAUUUCCUUGAAUUAAUAUUGGCCCAAGCUGACUUUUGCAUUACUGCCUCCUGAGUGGCCUGUGCAAUGGAAGACAUUUGCAGUCUUUUGCACAUUACCAGUAUUUUUUUUUCCCCAGGCAAAAAGCAGAUUUUUGCAGCCAGUCUCCACACCUUACAUUUUCUAAUUCAUUUCCAAAUGUAU